Molecule: non-coding RNA, 27 nt
Filed under: Rattus norvegicus (Norway rat)
Lineage: Eukaryota; Metazoa; Chordata; Mammalia; Rodentia; Muridae
Source: RNAcentral
UGGCUUGGUAUGUCUUUUGCACCUACU